RNAcentral lists this ribosomal RNA (510 nucleotides) under uncultured bacterium. RNAcentral describes it as "partial 16S ribosomal RNA". It matches the Rfam family "Bacterial small subunit ribosomal RNA", at positions 28 to 507 of the family's 1533-position model. The record is from RNAcentral.
GACGAACGCUGGCGGCGUGCUUAACACAUGCAAGUCGAACGAAGAGCGAUGGAAGCUUGCUUCUCUCAAUCUUAGUGGCGAACGGGUGAGUAACGCGUAAUCAACCUGCCCUUCAGAGGGGGACAACAGUUGGAAACGACUGCUAAUACCGCAUACGAUCUAAUCUCGGCAUCGAGGAUAGAUGAAAGGUGGCCUCUACAUGUAAGCUAUCACUGAAGGAGGGGAUUGCGUCUGAUUAGCUAGUUGGAGGGGUAACGGCCCACCAAGGCGAUGAUCAGUAGCCGGUCUGAGAGGAUGAACGGCCACAUUGGGACUGAGACACGGCCCAGAAUCCUACGGGAGGCAGCAGUGGGGAAUCUUCCGCAAUGGACGAAAGUCUGACGGAGCAACGCCGCGUGAGUGAUGACGGCCUUCGGGUUGUAAAGCUCUGUUAAUCGGGACAAAAGGCCUUCUUGCGAAUAGUGAGAAGGAUUGACGGUACCGGAAGAGAAAGCCACGGCUAACUACGUG